RNAcentral lists this ribosomal RNA (446 nucleotides) under uncultured bacterium. RNAcentral describes it as "partial 16S ribosomal RNA". It matches the Rfam family "Bacterial small subunit ribosomal RNA", at positions 338 to 795 of the family's 1533-position model. The record is from RNAcentral.
CCUACGGGGAGCAGCAGUCGAGAAUCAUUCACAAUGGGGGAAACCCUGAUGGUGCGACGCCGCGUGGGGGAAUGAAGGUCUUCGGAUUGUAAACCCCUGUCAUGUGGGAGCAAAUUAAAACGAUCGUACCACAAGAGGAAGAGACGGCUAACUCUGUGCCAGCAGCCGCGGUAAUACAGAGGUCUCAAGCGUUGUUCGGAAUCACUGGGCGUAAAGCGUGCGUAGGCUGUUUCGUAAGUCGUGUGUGAAAGGCGCGGGCUCAACCCGCGGACGGCACAUGAUACUGCGAGACUAGAGUAAGGGAGGGGGAACCGGAAUUCUCGGUGUAGCAGUGAAAUGCGUAGAUAUCGAGAGGAACACUCGUGGCGAAGGCGGGUUCCUGGACAGUAACUGACGCUGAGGCACGAAGGCCAGGGGAGCGAAAGGGAUUAGAUACCCCAGUAGUC